This 355-nucleotide unclassified non-coding RNA is filed under the name soil metagenome. RNAcentral describes it as "partial contains 5.8S ribosomal RNA, internal transcribed spacer 2, and large subunit ribosomal RNA". The stretch from base 1 to 120 matches the Rfam family "5.8S ribosomal RNA", at positions 35 to 154 of the family's 154-position model. The record is from RNAcentral.
GAUGAAGAACGUAGCGAAAUGCGAUAAGUAGUGUGAAUUACAGAAUUCAGUGAAUCAUCGAAUCUUUGAACGCACAUUGCGCCUUCUAGUAUUCUGGGAGGCAUGCCUGUUUGAGCGUCAUUAAACCUCUCUCAAGUAUGAUUACUUGGAUGUGAAGGAAGAGUACCUUAAACUUAAGGAGUGUUCUCCUUUGAAAUUGAUUAGCAGAUGGUAAUGUUAUUAAAUCCCUGAUGUUGUAAGAAAUAACAGUGGUUUUGUAGACUAUUAUCUAGCUUUAAAUUAUAAUUUUUAUUAUGGUUGACCUCAAAUCAGGUAAGGAUACCCGCUGAACUUAAGCAUAUCAAUAAGCGGAGGA